UAAUUUUCACACUAUCCCUCCAAUAUCUCUCUACCACUUUCAGAAACCCACAUUCCCGUUCCUUUUUCUUCUUCGUUACCUGAGCAUCCAUCCUCCCAUCCUCCCAAUCUUCAACUUCUCAUUUUCCUUCAUUUUUUUAAAUGAAUCAAACCCAAAAGCUUGGCAAAGCUCCUUAAACCCAUUUUUAAACCUUGCAUGUCUCAAUUUGUAACUAGUAACCGGUUUCAAUCAAAGCAACAGAGGAUACUAACCAACAAAUGAAGAAGAGUCAAAGUGGCAAUUCAGGCAAAAGGGGAGUUCAACGACCAAUUUAAUCGGAACAUUGUCUUCUCCUUUAUCACCAACACAGCUGGAGGAACAUGGGACAUGAAAUCAGCAUCAGAAGAUCAGUUCCAAACUCGUGGAAUUAAAAUUUAAUAUUUUGUUUUAUGAUGUAAUCAGUCAAUCGUAGUUGUUUUCAAGAUGUAAUAUUUUAUGAAUCUACUAAACAAGUUGUAAACUAUAUUUAUGAAUGUAGUUUUCAGUUA
This is a non-coding RNA of Cicer arietinum (chickpea), 527 nucleotides long. The record is from RefSeq and is a predicted model, not a curated record. Lineage: Eukaryota; Viridiplantae; Streptophyta; Magnoliopsida; Fabales; Fabaceae.